This 73-nucleotide transfer RNA is filed under the name Tigriopus californicus. RNAcentral's name for it is "tRNA-Gly for anticodon CCC". It matches the Rfam family "tRNA". From Rfam's summary of the family: Transfer RNA (tRNA) molecules are approximately 80 nucleotides in length. Their secondary structure includes four short double-helical elements and three loops (D, anti-codon, and T loops). The record is from Rfam by way of RNAcentral. Lineage: Eukaryota; Metazoa; Arthropoda; Copepoda; Harpacticoida; Harpacticidae.
GCAACUGUGGUGUAAUGGUGAACAUGCCUCCCUCCCAAGGAGGCGAUCCGGGUUCGAUUUCUCGGCAGCUGCA